GAUGAACGCUCGCUACAGGCUUAACACAUGCAAGUCGAGGGGAAACGCCAUCGAAAGCUUGCUUUUGAUGGGCGUCGACCGGCGCACGGGUGAGUAACGCGUAUCCAACCUGCCCAUCACUUGGGAAUAACCUUGCGAAAGUAAGACUAAUACCCAAUGACAUCCCACGAAGACAUCUGAAUGGGAUUAAAGAUUUAUCGGUGAUGGAUGGGGAUGCGUCUGAUUAGCUUGUUGGCGGGGUAACGGCCCACCAAGGCAACGAUCAGUAGGGGUUCUGAGAGGAAGGUCCCCCACAUUGGAACUGAGACACGGUCCAAACGCCUACGGGAGGCAGCAGUGAGGAAUAGUGGUCAAUGGGCGAGAGCCUGAACCAGCCAAGUAGCGUGCAGGAUGACGGCCCUAUGGGUUGUAAACUGCUUUUAGAAGGGAAUAAAGUGGGUCUCGGGAGACUUUUUGCAUGUACCUUAUGAAUAAGAACCGGCUAAUUCCGUG
This 492-nucleotide ribosomal RNA is filed under the name uncultured bacterium. RNAcentral describes it as "partial 16S ribosomal RNA". It matches the Rfam family "Bacterial small subunit ribosomal RNA", at positions 28 to 507 of the family's 1533-position model. The record is from RNAcentral.